ACGGAGGGUCCAAGCGUUAUCCGGAUUUAUUGGGUUUAAAGGGUGCGUAGGCGGGAAAUUAAGUCAGUGGUGAAAGCCCACAGCUCAACUGUGGAACUGCCAUUGAAACUGAUUUUCUUGAAUAUGAUUGAAGUGGGCGGAAUAUGACAUGUAGCGGUGAAAUGCUUAGAUAUGUCAUAGAACACCGAUAGCGAAGGCAGCUCACUAAGUCAUCAUUGACGCUGAGGCACGAAAGCGUGGGGAGCGAACAGG
This 252-nucleotide ribosomal RNA is filed under the name uncultured bacterium. RNAcentral describes it as "partial 16S ribosomal RNA". It matches the Rfam family "Bacterial small subunit ribosomal RNA", at positions 525 to 776 of the family's 1533-position model. The record is from RNAcentral.